Molecule: ribosomal RNA, 451 nt
Filed under: uncultured bacterium
Lineage: Bacteria
Description: partial 16S ribosomal RNA
Rfam family: Bacterial small subunit ribosomal RNA
Source: RNAcentral
GGCUAACGCUGGCGGCGCGCCUAACAUAUGCAAGUCGAACGAACCCUUCGGGGUUAUUGGCAGACGGGUGAGUAACGCGAGGAUAAUGUUCCUCUUUGAUGGGGAUAUCGUUCCCAAAGGAACCUUAAUACCUGAGGUGCUUGUUUGUCGGCCUCCUCGAGCAAGUAAACUGUUCGUGUGAAGAGAGCCGUCCGCGUUCUAUCAGCUCGCUGGUGAGGUAACGGCUCACCAAGGCUACGACGGAUAACUGGUCUGAGAGGAUGAUCAGUCACACUGGAGUGGAGACACGGGUCAGACUCUGUCGGGAGUGAGCAGUGAGGAACCUGGCUCAAUGGGCGCAAGCCUGAUGCAGCCCCGCUGCGUGAGGGAUGAAGCACUUCGAGUCCUAAACCCCUGUCAGUAGGGAAGAAGCCUGACUGUACCUACUGAGGAGGCUAGCGCUAACUACUUA